UGACCGUAGAUUGUCACUCGAUUGGGACACUGGCAAGACUCAUCAUUACUACCAGUGUCAUGUAGCUUCAGAUGGAAGUUACACGUUCAAGACAGUGUUUUGACAGGGACUUCUUCUUGUCUCUUGAACCCGUUGGAACAUACUUGCAAAAGGUCUUGGGUGAUGAUAAUGUUUUGACGGUCGUAUUUGAGGAUCUCCAGAAAAA
Long non-coding RNA from Brassica napus (rape), 205 nucleotides. RefSeq lists it as uncharacterized. The record is from RefSeq and is a predicted model, not a curated record. NCBI's taxonomy places the organism in Eukaryota, Viridiplantae, Streptophyta, Magnoliopsida, Brassicales, Brassicaceae. The transcript is spliced from 3 exons.